GCCCCUGGGUGGACUCGAACCACCAACCUUUCGGUUAACUGCUAGUGAUAUUAACAGCCGAACGCGCUAACCAUUGCGCCACAGAGGCA
This 89-nucleotide transfer RNA is filed under the name Belgica antarctica. Its description in RNAcentral is "tRNA IU25_tRNA_21". The record is from RNAcentral. Lineage: Eukaryota; Metazoa; Arthropoda; Insecta; Diptera; Chironomidae.